UAAUACGUAGGGCGCGAGCGUUAUCCGGAAUUAUUGGGCGUAAAGAGCUCGUAGGCGGUUUGUCGCGUCUGCCGUGAAAGUCCGGGGCUUAACCCCGGAUCUGCGGUGGGUACGGGCAGACUGGAGUGCAGUAGGGGAGACUGGAAUUCCUGGUGUAGCGGUGAAAUGCGCAGAUAUCAGGAGGAACACCGAUGGCGAAGGCAGGUCUCUGGGCUGUUACUGACGCUGAGGAGCGAAAGCAUGGGGAGCGAACAGGAUUAGAUACCCUGGUAGUCCAUGCCGUAAACGUUGGGCACUAGGUGUGGGGGCCAUUCCACGGUUUCCGCGCCGCAGCUAACGCAUUAAGUGCCCCGCCUGGGGAGUACGGCCGCAAGGCUA
This 378-nucleotide ribosomal RNA is filed under the name uncultured bacterium. RNAcentral describes it as "bacterial SSU rRNA". It matches the Rfam family "Bacterial small subunit ribosomal RNA", at positions 521 to 896 of the family's 1533-position model. The record is from RNAcentral.